AGAACACGAGAAGAAAGCAGCGACUUAACGAAAGAGUAUCAUCCACAGCAGCGGCACGCCCAUUCACGGCAGAAACCGAAAGACUCUGCACGCGCAGCAGGGGAGCUUCGUGACACGCGCCGUCCACCCCCACCCCACCCUCCUCUCCUUACAACAACAAGUCCGUCACCAGCGGCAGACAACCCUUCUUAGUAGAGCGCUCCUCAUUUCACUCUUCUGGGUAGCAUUCCCUUUCUCUGCCACCAUGUUCAUUGUGCAGGUAGCGGCCGACAUCUUCGGCAACAAGCUGAACUUCGAGCUCGGCUUCCCCAGCCGCCCCAGCCUGCAGGAGAUCACUCGCGUCUCUGAGAGCGCCUUUUCGACGGAGAUAGCCAACACGCGGCCAGACAACGUGCCCCAGCACACGUUCCACAUAUCGAAGAUCAAAGUCUAUGACGAGGACAAGAGCAAGUGGGUGGACCUUCUCGGCGAGGGUCAGCUAACGGACUACUGCCAGCUCUACGCCUUCCAGCCAGAGAAUCCAUGGCACAAGGAGACGCAGAAGCCGAUUCCUCCGGCAACAAAACCGCCGACGGCUACGACCGCGCUGAGUCGCAGUGCCGCCGUCAGCAACACGCCGUCCGGCAGCCGCGCCGUCGCGUCCACCUCCAACGCCUUGGCUCCCUACACCGGCGGCCGCAGUGAGCCGGCGACAUUGCGGAGGUCCUAUGCAGCUGGGGCCAGCAGCACUGCCCUUGUCCCUCGCAGCAAUGCAGACGCAUCUCCGGAGGAAAAGCUGCGCGUCGUCUUCUCCGAAUUCGACAACAAGGGCACUCGAAUGAUUGACGUGGAUGACUUCAAGCAGGGUUUCCACAACAUGGGGCUGGACUUCUCCAGCGCCACCGUGGAGGACCUCUUCGAGCGCGCCGAUCUCAACCACGACCACCGCAUCUCCUACACGGAGUUCGAGCGCUUUGCGCGGCUGUACCCGAUCAUGACCGACUGCCUGUACUUCCGCUCCAAGGCCUUCUGGGAGGAGGACCAGAUGCGCAAAGAGAUCCAGUCGGAGGUGGAGGCGGCGCACAAGUCGGAGGCCACGCUGGACCAUGCGCAGCGCAGCCUGGAGAACGCCGAGGCCGACGUUGCAGACGCGCAGAGCGCCGUGAAAGCCGCCGACGACGACUUGCGGGACCGCACAGACCGCAUGCGCGACCUUGCUAAAGACAUGGAGGAGGCGCGCAAGGGCAAGGAGCGGGUGAUGCGCGAGAAAAAGGAGCGGGAACAGGAUCUCGGUGCCAUCAGGGAGCGGGAGAAGGACGCGCGCAAAGAUUUGCAGGACCUAGCUCGCGACUCCGACAAGCUGGACCGGCGCGCUGCCGCGCUCGUGAGUGAUGCCGACGCGGCGGAUGACAAGGUUCGCCAGCUUCAGAAGGCGCUCGAGGACGCGAAGCGCACCGCUGACCGAGCACACCAGGCGGCCGAGCAGGCAGCGUUGGAGGCCGACCAGGCUAAGGAGCGUGAAAGAGAUGCCGCCAUGGAGGCGGAUGCGAUUGCACGCGAGAUCCCGAAGGCCGAGGACGCUGUGCGUCUGGCGGACCGCAACGUGGUGGCAGCGGACCAGGUGCUGCGCGAACUGGACAGUGCCGGCAAGGACAUUGGACGUCAGGCAGACGAGGCGGCCAGUCGGCGCGACGCUGGCGAGAAGGCUGUGGCCGAGGCACGUGAAAAGGUGAUGCAGAAGGUGCGCGAGUUGGACGCAGCGCGCAACGCCGUUGCCGAAAAAGACAGAGCCAUCAAACAAAAGGAGGCGGAGCUCGACGAGCACCGACGUCAACGAGAGCUCAUCACGCAGCACGAGCGCACCCUGAUCGAACAAGAGUUGCGCCUCCGUGAGCAGCGCGACAGUCUGGAGCAGCGCGAGACAAAACUGAUGUCGGAGGCCAGCAACUACCUUGGGAACAUGCGCAUCAACCUCGCGACGCGCUCCUACUCGCGCGACCCCGGAGGGUACUGAGUCGUUGUAGGAGUGGCAGAGAACGACAACGACGCGUGCGUGUGCGUGCCGCUAGAAACGCCUCAUGCGCUGUCUCCUCUCGCCCCCUCCUCUUUUCUGUGCGUGUGCUGUUGCCGUUUUCGCUAGACGCAACUGCUGCUCAUCUCUCUUGGUACUUUGUUCUGGGGUGCUCAGAGGGAGGGGCGCUUUCAUCCCCACCCUGUGCGCAUGUGCGUGUGAGUGCUAGGGGCGCAUUUCUUUCCUUGAUUGUUAGAUAGGCAGCCGUGCACGCCAUGCGUGCUGUGGCGAUGUCUGCUAUAUAUAUAUAUAUAUAUAUAUACGCCGAGUCUGCCCAUCGGCGUGAGUUUGGGCGGCGCAUCCUUCACCCGUCACACUCACUUCGCAUCCACCCUUGUUUCUCCUGCAACUUCUCUUUUCUAUCGUUGAAUGUGUGCGUGCGAGUGCGCGUGUAUGUGGACUUGUAUUGCCUGCCUCCCUGAGAGAGAUCCAUGUCGCCGUGCGAAUGACCCCCUCCGUAUGCAAUCCUUAACGCAUGUUUCCCCGGGGGUUCGGCCAGGCUGGCGGCAGUGGCGCCGCCCUCUUGCAGGCCACACCACUGGAGCACGCAGACGAUAGUGACGAGGUUGACCUCUUUGGGAGAGUAGAAGAGGGAAAGUGCAUUGUCCCCGUGCGUUGUGCGUGUGCUUGUGUGUGUGUAUGUGGUCUCUCUCUGGCGUGUCGGUUAUGGCGACGCGAUGGAGACUCGUCAUCCUGCGCCGUCAUCAUCGUUAAACGUGCGUUUUUCUUCUUCUUGUCUUCGUUGUCGCCUUUUCUUCUUCCACUAGAGUAUACGACGGACGCUUUCCGUGCUCGUUGGUCUCUUGGUUCUCUGUUUGACUCGCUGUGUACCACUGUACGUGUCGUCGUCUUGAUUGAGGCCAUGGAGAGAGGGUAUGUGGUGGUGAUGCUGGUUCCAGGGGGAGGGACCGGAGAGGGGGGAUGGGGCUGUGCCAUAGAGCGCCAACAGAGAGGUGUGGAGGAGACAACUACUUUGGCCGGCAGAGUGCUUUAGAGGUUGUGAGGAGUCGACGCGCAUGGCCACCGCGUGCUGGGCCCUUUUCCCUUCCUCAGCGAUCAACCUCCUCCCCCACCCCCGCUGCUUCCCGCCUGCCUGUUCUUGUUUUGGCGUUUCCAUAGAUGAGUUUUGUGUUUCUUUUAGUCGCCGUUGCGUGCCUUUGGGGUUUCUGUAGUGUUGUCUUCAUCGUACACGAGAGAGGUGGGAGCAGCGGACCGGCUGCUGCUGCAGGGUGCAGCACAGCUGCGUAACUGAAAAGCCAAACGACGCACACGCCCACAGGUCUGAGGCUGAAGAGAGUUUUGCCCUCCAAAACAACAACGAAAAAGAAGCCGAGGUAAGGCGAGUUGCCAGGCGUGCAUCGACAGACACGCAGACCGGUACCCUGUAACAGCAGGGGAAGGGGGGGUCAACGUCAAACACGCGGACCGCUAUCUUGUCCGGUAACUAUAUCGUAUGCUGGCACUGCUGCUGCUCUCGUUGUUCGCACGCCUGUCAUGGGCUUACUUGUGGCAGGUCCCCGCAUCUCUCGCCCUCAAAAUGUUGCCGGCGCUCUCAUUUACUCCUUUCCUUCCUACGGAGAUGGCGAUGAGAAACACGAUGCCUGAGGGCAUCGGACGAGGAGGGGGUAGGGCGGAGAAGAAGUAGAGUAUCGGCCCACGUGAGUGCUGCGUGUGUGCCUGUCGAGCAUGCCAGCGUGCCUCCCCGCGUCCCCACGCAUAAGCGAUGCCCAGGAUCGCCCCUUGGCCAUAGCUGCUGUCGCUGAUGCCGGCAGCUCCUACAGCCCCUUACUUCUACGCCUUCUCGUCCCAUCUUUAUAAAACUGCCUCGCCCCAUGCCGGCCUGCAG
This 3896-nucleotide unclassified non-coding RNA is filed under the name Leishmania donovani. Its description in RNAcentral is "gene:LdHU3.09.0170(CDS-product:calmodulin-like_pr otein_containing_EF_hand_domain)". Lineage: Eukaryota; Euglenozoa; Kinetoplastea; Trypanosomatida; Trypanosomatidae. The record is from RNAcentral.